CUCCAGACUCCUACGGGAGGCAGCAGUGAGGGGUAUUGGGCAAUGGGGGAAACCCUGACCCAGCGACGCCGCGUGAGGGAAGACGGUCUUCGGAUUGUAAACCUCUGUCUUUGGGGACGAAAAAGGACGGUACCCAAGGAGGAAGCUCCGGCUAACUACGUGCCAGCAGCCGCGGUAAUACGUAGGGAGCGAGCGUUGUCCGGAAUUACUGGGUGUAAAGGGAGCGUAGACGGAUGGAUAAGUCUGAAGUGAAAAGCCGCGGCUCAACUGCGGGACUGCUUUGGAAACUGUGCAUCUUGAGUACGGGAGGGGCAGGCGGAAUUCCUGGUGUAGCGGUGAAAUGCGUAGAUAUCAGGAGGAACACCGGCGGCGAAGGCGGCCUGCUGGACCGAAACUGACGUUGAGGCUCGAAAGCGUGGGAGCAAACAGGAUUAGAUACCCCAGACG
Molecule: ribosomal RNA, 447 nt
Filed under: uncultured bacterium
Lineage: Bacteria
Description: bacterial SSU rRNA
Rfam family: Bacterial small subunit ribosomal RNA
Source: RNAcentral